AAAACUUGACAACCCAAAAGUAUAUCAAAAUCACACCCAAUUUCCAGCCAUCACCACAUUAAUCGACCUUUCAAAAGGUCCAUUUCUCAAACACACAAACAAUGUCAAAUUCCACAAAAAAGGUAAAAAAUUUGACAAUAGGAAAGAUUCCCAACACACAUGAAAUUAGAAUACCACCAAAUCGAAUUCUCAAUUCACAAAUAAACUAAAAGACUUACGAAUCCUACACCUGACUUGUGAGAUAAGCACCCAACCCCACGGAUGAACCAC
This 270-nucleotide long non-coding RNA is filed under the name Gossypium raimondii (Peruvian cotton). RNAcentral's name for it is "long non-coding RNA (GRAI_LNC006532)". Lineage: Eukaryota; Viridiplantae; Streptophyta; Magnoliopsida; Malvales; Malvaceae. The record is from RNAcentral.